Molecule: ribosomal RNA, 509 nt
Filed under: Homalonychus selenopoides
Lineage: Eukaryota; Metazoa; Arthropoda; Arachnida; Araneae; Homalonychidae
Description: partial 16S ribosomal RNA
Rfam family: Bacterial large subunit ribosomal RNA
Source: RNAcentral
AUUAUUAGUAAAAUCUGCUCAAUGUACAAAUCAAUAGCCGCAAAUUCUGUGCUAAGGUAGCAAAAUCAUUUGUCUCUUAAUUAGAGACUAGAAUGAACGAUUUAACGUUUGAGCCACUCUUUCAUUUUUUAAAGAUUUAAAAUUUUUUUAAUUAUAAAAAUAUAAUUAUAUUUCAGAAAGACGACAAGACCCUAUUGAACUUAACUUUAGUUUAACUGGGGCAGUUAACUAAUUAACAUUUUAGUAAUAAUACUUUAAAUAUUAAUCCAUUAUCAUUGAAUAAUGAUUAAGUUACCAUAGGGAUAACAGCGCAAUUCCUUUUAUAAGCUCUUAUAGAAAAAGGAGAUUACGACCUCGAUGUUGAAUUAAUUAUCUAUUUAACGCAGCCGUUAAAAAAGUAAGUCUGUUCGACUUUUAAUAAAUUACAUGAUUUGAGUUCAGACCGGCGCAAGCCAGGUCGGUUUCUAUCUUCUUUAAAAUUAUCCUAGUACGAAAGGACCUGAUAAACU